GGCUAGUCAUCUAACUCUUUGACGAAUAGUAUUUUGUUGCAAAGUGAGCGUUAAAAACAAAAAGCAGCAAGUGGUUUGGUGUGAUUUCCAAAAUUACUAGCUUGAACGCGGUAUUUAUCAAACAAUAAUUAAAAUGCAUUGUAAGUUAUUUUUUGACAACAAACUGUAACAACAUUGAUCAGAGUUUGGCGAUAGUCUCCUGAUGUGUGUCCAAUGAUCACACCGUGUGCUGGAUUGAAAUCAGCGCGGGAAGCUUCGCAGCCAUGGCGGAGGCAGACGAUUUACGUAAUUUUAACGAACUGAGGCAAAAAUACAUUCACAGCAUUGCACAGAAUAUCGGUGAGGCACGCACCCUCAUGAUCAAAUUGAACAGUAACUUGCAAGCUUGGACUGAGAGGACGGGAGAGUUGGAACAUUUAGCCAAGGUGUGGGCCACGUUUCAGAACAGGCUGGCAUGCGUCUCAGCAGUAUUGGGAGACGUUGAGGAGGACAGGACAGAGACUGGCAUAGUGUCACCGACGAGCUCAGAUGCACAGACUGGUGCUGAAGACGGUUGAAUGUCACGUAGUCAUACCUUGCCCACGGCACAGUCUCCUCAAAUGUCACAAUAUCCUAACAUUGCUGCAAUAUAGUGGUUAAACAAUUUAUCACAACCCUUGAUAUUUGUUGGAUAGUUUACUAUUACUGGGGCCCCAGAAUAACCAAAGUAGGUUUUCCCGAGGAGGAAUCCACCUGAGACAGGCAGUUUGUCUUCCUACAAAUUCUAGCUACAUUCCAUUACAACCCACCACCUGACAUCUGUUGCUCACAUUCCUUUCUCUAGUCUAAACUCCUAUCAUAAAUUAUUAGUAUUUUGUGUAAUCUCUGAAAUCAAAGAAUAGUUAUUCUAAAACAGGAUAGAAGCAUAACCCAUUGGUUCAUAGAGAUCAAGUGAUAAGUCAAAACACAUUUUGGCUUCACAAUUGAUGCUUGAUGGCUUUGCCUAUCACAGUGUUGCAUUUGAUGUUUUUUCCUGUCAGAAAAAAACUUGUUUGAAUAAUUGGGUUCAUUCCAGGUUCAGUGUGAAGACAACCUGCAAUAAAAAUUGAACGGUUAUGA
Long non-coding RNA from Anguilla anguilla (European eel), 1098 nucleotides. RefSeq lists it as uncharacterized. Lineage: Eukaryota; Metazoa; Chordata; Actinopteri; Anguilliformes; Anguillidae. The record is from RefSeq and is a predicted model, not a curated record. The transcript has 3 exons.